This 28-nucleotide small RNA is filed under the name Bombyx mori (domestic silkworm). RNAcentral describes it as "ovarian small RNA-5678". The record is from RNAcentral. Lineage: Eukaryota; Metazoa; Arthropoda; Insecta; Lepidoptera; Bombycidae.
UAACGGUCUUAGGCCGCGAGGCGUUCGC